This is a ribosomal RNA of Lepisosteus oculatus (spotted gar), 120 nucleotides long. The record is from Ensembl. Lineage: Eukaryota; Metazoa; Chordata; Actinopteri; Semionotiformes; Lepisosteidae.
GCCAGCAGCCAUGUCACCCUGCAACUUAUAAUUGGCAACCCACUGAAGCUAAGCAGGUGUGAGCCUGGUCAGUACCUGGAUGGGAGACCUCCUUGGGAAAAACUAAGGUUGCUGCUGGAA